AGAUUUCAGUUUUCUGGUAAGCUUCCGCAUAGGGUGGGGUGACAGAAAAUCCAUAGAAAAUUGACCCUAAUAAGGAUGAUGUCGGGGGAUAUCAAAAGAACCUUCGGGGAUAUUGUUGAGGAGGUUCAAAAAGGCAGAGGAAGAACCAAUGGUCAUGGAUACAAAAAUAUAUCAACGCCUCAACACUUUCUGCCAUGGACAAUUUAUUUGGUUCUCCAUACCAUAAUACAUAGCAUUAUUGUGGGCGUAUCAGGCCAAUGAAAUCCAAGAUGAUGGAAGCAAAAUGUAUCAAUGAGGAAUGGCAAAACUGUUUGAUAUAUAUCCAGAUGUUAUUCUUCUGUCUAUCUCUACUAACAGCAGAGAAGAUUUUGUGUGGAAAAAAGAGGAGUACGGGUUUACUAUGAAGUUCCACGCGCAGUAACCACCUAUUUUAUCAGCUGACGGUUUUAGAUGCUACAGCAACUUCUAAUGAGCACUUGAGUUCUGCUCCUUGAA
Molecule: long non-coding RNA, 495 nt
Organism: Lolium rigidum
Lineage: Eukaryota; Viridiplantae; Streptophyta; Magnoliopsida; Poales; Poaceae
Exons: 4
Source: RefSeq, a predicted model, not a curated record